GGCCCGCCCCCCGGUGGGCCGUGUGGCAGCAGAGGCGCCAUUGGCGGAGCGCGUGUGCGGGCCCGGGAGCGGCGGCAGCGGCCGGAGCCCGGUGAGGCGGCGGCGGAGCUCGGAGGCGGCCCCAGCGCAGGCGUUGGUGGCUCAGGAGGCCUGGCUGCCACCUGCAUCCCCUUGCUCAGCUGCUGAAUGAGCUGCACUCAGCAAGGUGUGGUGCAUGGUCAGAAGAUGAGAGUUGCUGCAGCACGGGAGGGGAGAAAGAGCCUUCGUUUAACCCCUGGUGUGCCAGGGAACCACGAAACCGUGUCCCAUUGCCAACCUUUCCACGUUUGGACUGGAACAUGAGCUGCUUUCUUAUUUCCUUUGUUACCUGUUUCACCACUUUUCUGUUGUCAUCUCUUUGCCAACAGGAUCUUGAGUCAUUGAAUUUUCCACACUGUCCUCCUCCUUCUGCUAAUAGAUAAUCUGAUCCCAUCCCAUGGUGAAAUGUUGUGUUCUUCGUUUGAGUGGAUUUUUUGGCCAGGCUCAGGAGCUGGAUGUGUCUGGUUGGUUCUUAUUUCGAAGCCAUCUUGUAAUCUAAUGAUGCCAUUGAAAUGAGAAAUGGGUUCUCUGGCUCCCGAUGUGAAUUUAUUGGGGUUCCGAGGGGCUGCUCCAUGGUGUUGUAGGAUUUGUUGUGGUGGCCGUUCAUCUUUUCCCCAUUUUUGGACACUCCCUCCAGCCAGGGCUGCAUCAAUUGAUCUCUUUUCUCUAAUUCAAUCAUCCCAUCCUUGGAUUCCCAAGUGAUUUCUCUGAGCUUGUGGUAGCACAAACACCCCAGUGGUGCAAAGCUCCCUGUGUGCCACAGACAGUGGCAGCACAUGUUGGAGUGGGGAGAGGGAUGAUUCCCCCCAGUUCUUGGAGUGGAGUUUUCCCAACAUUCUCCAUUUGCAGUUUCCCUUUGCAGCUGCCCCAGUUUCUGUUGCAGGGUCAGAUCUCCUCAGUGCGGGCUGUGCCUUUGGCUGUGCCAAUUGCAUCAGUGCCAGCAGGCAGAGCUUGGGGUGAGGGGCAGAGGGAAUGAGCCCAAAUCCUCCCGCAGGCAAGGAGAGCCUGGUGCAUUGUGCACCCUUUUCCCCAGCAGUGUUAAUUUGCAUUUCUAAAGCUCCUGUCCUGGCUGCCUGGAAGGAAGCUUCUCUUCCAGAGCAGCCACUGAAUGACUCACAUUUGGCCCACCCAAAUCUGUUUGUUGGGGGUUUUUUUUCUGGGUUUUUUUGUUUGUUUGUUUGUUUGUUUUUUUACAAUAUUUUAUUAACGGUUACUGAGUUAAAGGGUUACCUUUAAAGCUCUUCUGGUUUUGCAAAAUGCAACCUAAAGGUGAACAUCGAAAUACCCAAACGAAAAUUUUUCCAUCGCUGAGAGCCACACACAAACACAAAAACAUUCCAAAGCAUGCAGGUUUUUUCUACUUCUUCUCCUAGGACUUAAAAUAGAUCUCACAGCCGUUGUCCAAACCUAAAUGACAAUAUAAAUGUAGGAUUUAUACGAAAAAUUAUUCUAAAUGUGUAAUCUUGUUACUGAAACUGCGGGAAAAACAAAAACUCUCCAACAAUAUUAUUAGUGUUAGAGAGUCAAGGCAUUACUUGAUUCUGGCCAGGCUGUGCAACAGAAAUCAUUUCAUCCGCACAUAGCCUGGGUGUGCACUGAAAAUCAUUCCAUGACCCGUAAGUAUUACUGGAUUUUUCCAAAAUUUUAAACAGCCUGAACCCACAGAAAUCCAUUGGUUUGAUGUUCAUUGCUUCCAAGGUGUGAAGUUCUCAGUAUUUGGUUUCCUGUUGGCCCUGGAUUUCUUUGCCUCUGCUGUUAGUUAGGCCUGCACUCCUGGGUUUCCUUCUCAGCCUUUUCCAGCCCAGGUGUCUGCAGCUAUUCCCGGGGCAGUGUCUGGGGUGGAUGUUGAUUGGUGUUUGCUGAUGGUGGUUGAUGUUUUGUUGAUGGUCGUUAUCUCUGUGGGUAUCUUUUGGGCUCUUCCCAGUCUGUUGAGAUGUUAAACUCAUCUCUGUUGAAUGGUGUAAUACCCCUUAUAAAAAAAUCCUUUAAAAUUCCUUUCCCCAGGGCAAAGGCAAACC
Molecule: RNA transcript, 2096 nt
Organism: Prinia subflava (tawny-flanked prinia)
Lineage: Eukaryota; Metazoa; Chordata; Aves; Passeriformes; Cisticolidae
Gene name: zinc finger protein 239-like
Exons: 2
Source: RefSeq, a predicted model, not a curated record